Molecule: non-coding RNA, 27 nt
Filed under: Mus musculus (house mouse)
Lineage: Eukaryota; Metazoa; Chordata; Mammalia; Rodentia; Muridae
Source: RNAcentral
UUAUAGAUUGGGCACUGGUUAGAGAUC